Molecule: ribosomal RNA, 253 nt
Filed under: uncultured bacterium
Lineage: Bacteria
Description: partial 16S ribosomal RNA
Rfam family: Bacterial small subunit ribosomal RNA
Source: RNAcentral
UACGUAGGGUGCAAGCGUUAAUCGGAAUUACUGGGCGUAAAGCGUGCGCAGGCGGUGAUGUAAGACAGUUGUGAAAUCCCCGGGCUCAACCUGGGAACUGCAUCUGUGACUGCAUCGCUGGAGUGCGGCAGAGGGGGAUGGAAUUCCGCGUGUAGCAGUGAAAUGCGUAGAUAUGCGGAGGAACACCGAUGGCGAAGGCAAUCCCCUGGGCCUGCACUGACGCUCAUGCACGAAAGCUAGGGGAGCAAACAGG